GAUGAACGCUAGCGGCAGGCCUAAUACAUGCAAGUCGAGGGGUAUGGGUUGCUUGCAACCCAGAGACCGGCGCACGGGUGCGUAACGCGUAUGCAAUCUACCUUAAUCAGGGGGAUAGCCCGGAGAAAUCCGGAUUAACACCGCAUAACAUUGAGUUGUGGCAUCACAGUUCAAUCAAAUAUUUAUAGGAUUAAGAUGAGCAUGCGUGACAUUAGUUAGUUGGUGAGGUAACGGCUCAUCAAGACCACGAUGUCUAGGGGAUCUGAGAGGAUGACCCCCCACACUGGUACUGAGACACGGACCAGACUCCUACGGGAGGCAGCAGUAAGGAAUAUUGGUCAAUGGGCGCAAGCCUGAACCAGCCAUGCCGCGUGCAGGAAGACGGCCCUAUGGGUUGUAAACUGCUUUUGUACCGGAAUAAACCUUCUCUUGCGAGAGAAGCUGAACGUACGGUAAGAAUAAGGAUCGGCUAACUCCGUG
RNAcentral lists this ribosomal RNA (480 nucleotides) under uncultured bacterium. RNAcentral describes it as "partial 16S ribosomal RNA". It matches the Rfam family "Bacterial small subunit ribosomal RNA", at positions 28 to 507 of the family's 1533-position model. The record is from RNAcentral.